UACGGAGGUGGCAAGCGUUGUCCGGAUUUAUUGGGUUUAAAGGGUGCGUAGGCGGUCUAUUAAGUCAGUGCUGAAAUAUCCCGGCUUAACCGGGAGGGUGGCAUUGAUACUGAUGGACUUGAGUAAAGUUGAGGUUGGCGGAAUUGACGGUGUAGCGGUGAAAUGCUUAGAUAUCGUCAAGAACACCUAUUGCGAAGGCAGCUAACUAAGCUUAAACUGACGCUGAGGCACGAAAGUGUGGGGAGCAAACAGG
This 253-nucleotide ribosomal RNA is filed under the name uncultured bacterium. RNAcentral's name for it is "partial 16S ribosomal RNA". It matches the Rfam family "Bacterial small subunit ribosomal RNA", at positions 524 to 776 of the family's 1533-position model. The record is from RNAcentral.